GUCCCAGUUCGGAUUGCAGGCUGCAACCCGCCUGCAUGAAGCUGGAAUCGCUAGUAAUCGCGGAUCAGAAUGCCGCGGUGAAUACGUUCCCGGGUCUUGUACACACCGCCCGUCACACCAUGGGAGUCGGUAACGCCCGAAGUCAGUGACCCAACCGAGAGGAGGGAGCUGCCGAAGGCGGGACUGGUAACUGGGGUGAAGUCGUAACAAGGUACC
This 216-nucleotide ribosomal RNA is filed under the name uncultured bacterium. RNAcentral describes it as "partial 16S ribosomal RNA". It matches the Rfam family "Bacterial small subunit ribosomal RNA", at positions 1285 to 1500 of the family's 1533-position model. The record is from RNAcentral.